GAUGAACGCUGGCGGCGUGCCUAAUACAUGCAAGUCGAGCGAACGGACGAGAAGCUUGCUUCUCUGAUGUUAGCGGCGGACGGGUGAGUAACACGUGGAUAACCUACCUAUAAGACUGGGAUAACUUCGGGAAACCGGAGCUAAUACCGGAUAAUAUUUUGAACCGCAUGGUUCAAAAGUGAAAGACGGUCUUGCUGUCACUUAUAGAUGGAUCCGCGCUGCAUUAGCUAGUUGGUAAGGUAACGGCUUACCAAGGCAACGAUGCAUAGCCGACCUGAGAGGGUGGUCGGCCACACUGGAACGGAGACACGGUCCAGACUCCUACGGGAGGCAGCAGUAGGGAAUCUUCCGCAAUGGGCGAAAGCCUGACGGAGCAACGGCGCGUGAGUGAUGAAGGUCUUCGGAUCGUAAAACUCUGUUAUUAGGGAAGAACAUAUGUGUAAGUAACUGUGCACAUCUUGACGGUACCUAAUCAGAAAGCCACGGCUAACUACGUG
Molecule: ribosomal RNA, 497 nt
Filed under: uncultured bacterium
Lineage: Bacteria
Description: partial 16S ribosomal RNA
Rfam family: Bacterial small subunit ribosomal RNA
Source: RNAcentral